Molecule: RNA transcript, 1319 nt
Organism: Larimichthys crocea (large yellow croaker)
Lineage: Eukaryota; Metazoa; Chordata; Actinopteri; Sciaenidae
Gene name: E3 ubiquitin-protein ligase TRIM63 pseudogene
Exons: 1
Source: RefSeq, a predicted model, not a curated record
GCCCGACCCCACAGGGGUAUAAAGGCUGGAGGGUUUGAGACGCUGGCAGAUUGAAAUAAACCACAGAGAAAGACACACAGAGAGGACCAGAAGAAGAAGAACAUGGACAUCCAGACAGGUCAGUUGGUUCGACCAGUCAGUGCCAUGGAGAGUCUGGAGAAGCAGCUCAGCUGUCCAAUCUGCCUCGACAUGUUCACCAAGCCGGUGGUCAUCCUCCCCUGCCAACACAACCUGUGCCGCGGCUGCGCCAAUGACCUUUAUGAGUCCAGGAACCCCUACCACUACUCGGGGGGAACCUUCCGCUGCCCCACAUGCCGCUUCGAGGUGGUUUUGGACCGGCAUGGCGUGUACGGGCUGCAGCGGAAUCUGCUGGUGGAGAACAUCAUCGACAUUUAUAAGCAGCAGCAGGAGAGCCAGGGAGGUGAUGGCGAGGAGCCCCCUCUUAAAGACAAGGACGUCAAGGAGCCGAAGUGUAAGGAGCACGAGGACGAACGCAUCAACAUCUACUGUGUCAGUUGCCAGACACCAACCUGCUCCAUGUGUAAAGUGUUCGGACAGCACAAAGAUUGCGAUGUGUCACCGCUGCACACUGUCUACCAGAGUCAGAAGAACGAGCUGCGCUUGGCCAUGGAGCUGCUCGCCACAGGAAACAACUGCAUCCAGGCUGUCAUGGCGCAGAUGGACGACACAUGUAAGUUGAUCCAGGAGAAUGGAGAGCUGAAGAAGAGGCGGCUGGGUGAGAGCUUUGACCUGCUGUACGCUAUCAUGGAGGAGCGUAAAGGCCAGCUGCUGGAGCGGAUCAGCCAGGUGGAGCAGGACAAAGUGUCCACGCUCAGAAAUAUGGCAGACCAGUACAAGCAGCAGCUGCAGGUCAGCAACCAGCUGCAGGAGAAACUGGCGCAGAGCGUCCAGUCCGUCGGCGCCGCACAGUUCCUCCUCACCGCCAAGCAGCUGCAGGAGGAAGCCAAGCAGGCGGCCAGGGCAGCCCAGCUGAAGAGGCCCGAGCCGGGCUACGAGAGCAUGGAGCACCUGAGUCUGGACACCCAGGAGGCCGAGGCCCUGCUAGCCUGCAUGGACUUCACACAGGGGGGCGAAGAGGAAGACCAGGACUUUGACACAAAGUAACAAGAGUGAGAAAAACUUUCAAAAAAAAAAGUUCAGGACAUUUUUUUACUCUUACAAAAUGAAACAUUUUGUUGGACUUUUUAUACUUUUCUAUCUCUGAAUGUUUUUCUCGCUCGACAUUCGAGACAAAGUCUGAAACGAGCAUCUGUGUUUGUCUGAAAUGUCUUUUGAACGUGUGAAUAAAGUUUUAUUUG